GUGGUCACUUUCACAGCAAACAUACUAAAACCGGGACAAUACAGAGAUUAGCAUGAAUCUAGUGCAAGGAUGACAUACAAAUUCAUGAAGCAUUCUCUCUCUCU
Spermophilus dauricus (Daurian ground squirrel) is the source of this 104-nucleotide small nuclear RNA. The record is from Ensembl. Lineage: Eukaryota; Metazoa; Chordata; Mammalia; Rodentia; Sciuridae.